AAAGUCGUAACAAGGUAACCGUAGGUGAACCUGCGGUUGGAUCAUUAACAAAUCUAACAAAAGAAGAAAUUAAAGAUCCUUUUAAAAGAAAUCUUUUAAUUUCUUCUUUUUAACAACCUUUUGUGAACUGUUAUUUGUCUCUUGGUGAGUUAAAAUUAGUUCCUUAAAAAAGAACUUUGAAGUGGUAAUUUUGUCACCCUCUUUUUAAUUAAAGAGGGAGAUAAAUUGCUUCUUCACUCACCAGCUUUUAACUUAAACUUUUUAAAAAAUAAAUUAAGUCUUGAAUUAAAUUAAAGAAAUUUUUUAAUUUAAACAACUUUUGACAACGGAUCUCUAGGUUCUC
RNAcentral lists this unclassified non-coding RNA (343 nucleotides) under Chytridiomycota sp. RNAcentral describes it as "partial contains small subunit ribosomal RNA, internal transcribed spacer 1, and 5.8S ribosomal RNA". The stretch from base 1 to 47 matches the Rfam family "Eukaryotic small subunit ribosomal RNA", at positions 1785 to 1831 of the family's 1831-position model. Lineage: Eukaryota; Fungi; Chytridiomycota. The record is from RNAcentral.